UACGUAGGGGGCAAGCGUUGUCCGGAAUCAUUGGGCGUAAAGAGCGUGUAGGCGGCCCGGUAAGUCCGCUGUGAAAGUCCAGGGCUCAACCCUGGGAUGCCGGUGGAUACUGUCGGGCUCGAGUCCGGAAGAGGAGUGUGGAAUUCCUGGUGUAGCGGUGAAAUGCGCAGAUAUCAGGAGGAACACCAAUUGCGAAGGCAGCUCGCUGGGACGGUACUGACGCUGAGACGCGAAAGCGUGGGGAGCAAACAGG
RNAcentral lists this ribosomal RNA (253 nucleotides) under uncultured bacterium. RNAcentral's name for it is "partial 16S ribosomal RNA". It matches the Rfam family "Bacterial small subunit ribosomal RNA", at positions 524 to 776 of the family's 1533-position model. The record is from RNAcentral.